This is a long non-coding RNA of Cyanistes caeruleus (blue tit), 1913 nucleotides long. Lineage: Eukaryota; Metazoa; Chordata; Aves; Passeriformes; Paridae. The record is from Ensembl.
GGAUUUGGGGGUGAAAAUCAGGGAUUUUGGGGUGAAAAUUUGAUUUAGGAUGAAAUUGGAGCAUUUUGGGGUGAAAUUUGGGGAUUUUGGGGUGAAAAUCAGAUUUGGGCUGGAAUUGGGGCAUUUUGGGGUGAAAUUUGUGGAUUUUGGAGCAAAAUUUGGGGAUUUGGGCACAAAAUUUAGGGAUUUAGGCUGGAAUUUGGGAUUUGGGGUGAAAUUUGGGGGGUUUGUGGCAAAAUUUGGGGAUUUUGGGGUGAAAAUCAGGGAUUUGGGGUGAAAUUUGGGGAUUUUGGGGAUUAAAUUUGGGGGUUUGGGGUGAAAUUUGAGGAUUUGGGCUGGAAUUUGGGGAUUUUGGGGUUGGGGAUUAAAUUUGGGGGUUUGGGGUGAAAUUUGAGGAUUUGGGCUGGAAUUUGGGGAUUUUGGGGCGAAAGUCAGGGAUUUGGGGUGAAAUUUGAGGAUUUUGGGGAUGAAAUUUGGGGAUUUUGUGGCAAAACUUGGGGAUUUUGGGGUGAAAUUUGGGGAUUUUGGGGAUGAAAUUUGUGGAUUUGGGGUGAAAAUCAGAGAUUUGGGCUGGAAUUUGGGAAUUUUGUAGCAAAAUUUGGGGAUUUUGGGGUGAAAUUUGGGGAUUUGGUGUGAAAUUUUGGGAUUUUGGGGUGAAAUUUUGGGAUUUGGGGCAAAAUUUGGGGAUUUUGGGGUGAAAAUCAGGGAUUUGGGGUGGAAUUGGGAGAUUUGGGGUGAAAUUUAGAGAUUUUGGGGCAAAAUUUGGCGAUUUGGGGUUGAAAAUCAGAUUUGGCGUGAAAUUUGAGGAUUUGGGGUGAAAUUUGGUGAUUUUGGGGAUGAAAUUUGGGGAUUUUGGGGUGUAAAUCAGGGAUUUGUGGUGAAAUUUGUGGAUUUUGUGGCAAAAUUUGGGGAUUUUGGGGUGAAAAUGAGGGAUUUGGGGUGAAAUUUGAGGAUUUGGGGUGAAAUUUGGUGAUUUUGGGGUGAAAUCUGGCGAUUUCCAAACCACCACGAGGACACAAAGCUCCCAACCAUCGCUUCUGUUCCCUUUCCCUCCGGAAUUGCAAAGCAGAGACAGCCCAGGACCCGCAGAAACACCCGGAACAACCCCAAAACUGCACGGGGGUCACCCAGGGGUCACCCGGGGGUCACCCAGGGGUCACCCAGGGGUCACCCAGGUGUCACUCAGGUGUCACUUGGUGCCACUCAGGUGUUCAGGUGUCACUCAGGUGUCAGGUGUCACUCAGGUGUCCAUCAGGGGUCACUCAGGUGUCACCCAGGUGUCAUUCAGGUGUCAGGUGUCACUCAGGUGUCCCUCAGGUUUUGUUCAGGUGUUGCUCAGGUGUCACUCAGGUGUCAGGUGUCAUUCAGGUGUCACCCAGGUGUCCCUCAGGGGUCACUCAGGUGUUGCUCAGGUGUCACUCAGGUGUCACCCAGGUGUCACUUAGGUGUCAGGUGUCAUUCAGGUGUCAUUCAGAUGUCGUUCAGGUGUCACCCAGGUGUCCUUCAGGUGUUGUUCAGGUCUUGUUCAGGUGUCACUCAGGUGUCACUUGGUGUCACUCAGGGUUCAGGCGUCACUCAGGUGUCACCCAAGUGUCCCUCAAGGGUCACUCAGGUGUCACUCAGGUGUCAGGUGUCAUUCAGGUGUCAUUCAGGUGUUGUUCAGGUGUCACCCAGGUGUCGUUCAGGUGUUGCUCAGGUGUCCUUCAGGUCUUGUUCAGGUGUCACUCAGGUGUCACUUGGUGUCACUCAGGGUUCAGGUGUCACUCAGGUGUCACCCAAGUGUCCCUCAGGGGUCACUCAGGUGUCACUCAGGUGUCAGGUGUCGUUCACAUGUCGUUCAGGUGUCACCCAGGUGUCGUUCAGGUGUCACUCAGGGUUCAGGUGUCACUCAGGUAUCACUUGGUGUCACAGGU